RNAcentral lists this long non-coding RNA (13569 nucleotides) under Homo sapiens (human). RNAcentral describes it as "HSALNT0022103". The record is from RNAcentral. Lineage: Eukaryota; Metazoa; Chordata; Mammalia; Primates; Hominidae.
UGAUCCACCCAUCUCUGCCUCCCAAAGUGCUGGGAUAACAGGUGUGAGCCCUCACGCCUGGCUUCCUUAUAUUUAAACAAUUCUAUUAAUGUAAAAAUACCAUUAAGAAAAAAGGCAAGCCACAGCAUGCAAGAAGACAGUUAUAAUACAUACGUCUAAAAACUACUUCUGUCCAGAAUAUACAGAAUCUUCUACAAAUCAAUGAGAAAAUGCAUAUAACUCAAUUUUAAAAUGCAUAAAAAACUCCUGAGCAAAAAUUUUAUAAAAGAGGAUAUCCAAAGGGCCAUACACAUAGAAAAAAGGUUCAACAUCAUUACUCUUUAGAAAAAUACAAAGCAAAUCUAUAAUGAAAUACCAUUUACACCCAUUGGAAUGGCUAAAAUUAAAAAGACUGAAGGACUGACAGUAACUCAUAUUGGUAAGGCGGUUGAACAACUGGAAUUCUCAUACAGUAUCAUAGCAGGAGUGUACGUUGGUACAGUUUGGAAAAAAGUUUGACAGUUUCUUAUAAAGUUGAACAUAGAGACCCAAUAAUUCCAUUUUUAGAUAGAUACCUAAAAGAAAUAAGUAAUAUAUUCUUCAAAACUCAUAUAUAAGAAUGAUCACAUUUGCAUUUUUCAUAAUAACUCCAAACUGGAAACAUGUCCACCAACAGGAGGUCUAAUAAUUGUGGAAGAUGGAAAAUUAUACUGCAAUUUAAAAAAUAACCAACUACUGAUAUUUUAAAUCGCAUAGAUGAAUCUCACAGACAUUAUGUUAAGUGAAAGAAGCCAGACAAAUAAGAGUGUAUACUGUAUAAUUCCAUUUAUAAAAAGUUCAAGAACAGGCAAAACCAAUUGAUGAUACCUUGAAAUAUGAGGUUAUUGACUUCUGAGAUGCUGGAGGCAUUCCAUAUCUUUAUUUGGAUAGCGGUUAUGUGAAUGUAUAAAUGUAUAUACACUUAAGAUUAGCACAUUUCAUCUUUUGUAUGGUUAAAUAUAAUUUAGACAAAGCAAGAGACCAAUUCAGGUGGUCCUGUCUUAGUCUGCUUUCUCCUGCUGUAAAAGAAUACUACAGACUGGGUAAUUUAUAAAGAAAAGAAAUUUAUUUUGCUUAUGGUUCUGGAGACUGGGAUGUCCAAGGGCAUGGCACUGGCAUCUGCUCAGCCAUCUGGUGGGGGCCUUAUUGUUGUGUCAUCUCAUGAAGGAAAGUGGAAAGACAAGGGAGCAUGGGAGACAGAAAAAAGGGGUGAACUCCUGAGAUAACUGAUCUACUACAGCAAUAACAGCUUUAAUCCUUUAAUCCACUCUUACCCUAUGACCUAAUCACCUCUUAAAGGUCCCACCUAUUAAUGCUGCCACACUAGCAAUCAAAUUUCAAUAUAAAUUUUGGAGGGGACAUUUUAAAUGAAAGCAGGUUCCAAACUCACCUAUUUAUGACACCUAAAACAGGAAUGGUGAAAAUAGGGGAAGGGGAUUGGUUUUUAAUGUCACAAGAAACUUCCUAGAAUAUUCAGAUUGAAGGGGUUCACUGUUAAGCAAGAUGAAUUUUAAAUCAGAAAUAUAAAAUAUUCUCAUUAAAUUAUAAUGCAGCUAGGAUCAAGGCAUGUUGAUAAAGUCUUCUGGACAGGAAAAACAAGCCAUAUGUAAAGGAAUAAGGAUCAGAUUAAUGUCAGACUUCUCAUGAACAAUUGGAUAUUACAGGAAAAUGAAGCAAUGUUCUCUCAAAUUUCUGAGCCAACAUAUCAAUCAGGUGUGAGAACAAAAUAAUUUUUUUCUGACAGGCAAAGGAGGGUAACGUUUACCUUUUAAUCGUGCCUUUUAAGGGAGUUAAUUGAAGAUACAAUACAGUCAAGCAACAGGAGGAAAGAAACAACAAAUGGGAGACAUGAGGUUCCGAGGAUCAUGGUUCCAACACAGGACAGCAGAAAAGAGGAGUUGCAAAAUGACUGCUACAAAACAGACUUAAAGAGAAAACAUUCCAGUUUCACGUAGGAGGACAAAAGAAAAAACAAAACAACAUGAAAGAAGGAUGGAGCAAAUGCCCCAGAUGAAGCCUACACGACAUGAGUCAGAGAACUUUGGCCAGGAUGUCUGGGGAAAAAGUUUCCUCUUUCUUCUCUGGGAACUAUCUGGAGAGGGUUGUUUUAACGCUGGAUGUGAACAGCGACUCGUGUAGCCCCAGAAGCCUCUGACAGCCGCGUUGGAAUCAUAAGUUCUCAAAAUGAAGGUUGUGGUCUAGAAAGCAUAUUGUGAUUUGUACAAGAAGCACAUUCCCAUUUUACAAAAGUACAAAAGCACAUUUUGGACUUUUAACAAAUUCAACUGUUUUGUGUUCUGUGUGAGUAAAUUUUAGGUUGCCCAUCAUUGAAAACCAGUUUAAAAAAAAAUAAUGGGAGUAGAUAAUCCAGACAACAUUUUCUACCGUAUUUGUUGACUCCAGUUGUUGGAAAGUAAAAUUCUGGAGGAAGAGCUGGGAUAUCUCCAGGGGCUUAGUUUAACAUCAUCAAAGACUCUCCUGCUCCCCCUUUGCAUGUUACAGUAUCUGCUUUACCAAUCAGAGGGAAAUUUAUCAUGUAGGAUUUAAAGGAGAUAUUUAUGGCGUCCGUAAGCACAAUGACUUUGACUGGUAAGACGUCAGCUAUUCCCUUUAGGAGAUAAAAGGCCACAGCUGGUGAGGUAAUAGAACAGGAACUGUUUCAAUAUUUCAAAACAGAAGACCUUGUUGAAGAAGAGAGAUUUUAUAUGGCAUUUGCUUUUAUUUUUUUCCUUCUAUGAUGAACAGGUGUGGGAGUCAAUUCAAGAAGGCAGCUUAGAUGAUUGUGAGACAAGGGAGGGAGGUAAAUAUUUUUGAUGGUUGGGGAAGGACUGAGAUUUUCAAACUUCAAACCAAACAUGUAGUCCAAGCCUUUUCUACCUGUGUACACAAAGGAAAGAGGAAACUAAGUCAAUGUAAAAUAGGCAGUUGUUGUUUGGAAAAGUUAUGAAAUCCUCCUGGCUACACAAAACAGAAAGCCCAGCUAUGUGACAAGUGUUUGAUGUAAAUAUGCAAAUGCAGUUUUAAAUUCAUUAUACCUAAGGGAACAAGGUGUCUGGGUAAGGGGGGUUCUACUGUUUCUUAAGCUUACAAAGCAGGUCCUUGAAUAAUGUCAUUUAAGUUCAAUGUAAUUUCCUUAUAAUGUUGAUGAGAAAAAAAAAAUGGAUUCCUAGCUGAAGUCAUUGUGUGUGUGGACUUUGCAUGUCCUCCCCAUGUCUGGUUUCCUCCCAAAACCCAAAGCUGUGUCCGUUAGAUGAAUCAGUGUGUCUCACUGGUCCCAGCGUGAGUGAGUGUUGCUAUGUAUGAGUGGGCCCUGCAAUGGGAAUGGUGACCUGUCUGGGGCUGGUUCCAGCCUGGUACCCUGAGCUACCAGAAGUGGCUCUGGCCCCUUGAGCUUCUGAACUUGAAUAAGUGGGUAAAUUAUUAUCUUACUUGUUUUUGUUAACCUUUCUUAAGUGUAUGUGUAGCUCACCUUCCUUUCAAAGUUAUUUUGAUGUUUAUUUCAAUAUUAGAAGUGUUUGGGUCUUUCUUUAGAAGUUUGGUGAUUUUUUUUUUUGUGACCAAAAUAUGCUGUAGCAACUUAACUCUUGUUUAGAUCGGUUAGCUUAUAGCAAAGCUAUUUUCGUUAUGUGUUCUUUCACUUGAAGUUCCAGUUUCCAAGAACCUAUUGUCCAAGAUAAGUAAGGACUUACUGUACUUCUGGGCACACAAUGGGCUAAGCAUCUUAUAUUAUCAAAUGAGAUGAAAUAAAAUAUAAUGCUAAAAUGAUGUUAAAAAGUUAUCACAUUAUAACAAAUUAUAAGAAUUAUUAAAAUGACAGGAUAUAUUAAAGCACUGUAAAAAGUAAAGCUUAGUAGAUGCAUUAGAGGUUAUGAUUGGCAUUGCUAACAUUAUUAUUAUUAAAAUCCUUCAGUGCUGGGCACCACUUAUUUCUACCCUUAUAACCCCAUGGACCUGUACUGUAUCUUGUAAUAAAACCCUCAAUAAAUAUUUGAUACAUUGCUGAAUAAAAGGUAGGUUGACUUCUUAAAGUACCUGCAAAAUACCUCAUCCACAAGAGAAAAAGGCAAGAGAAUAACCUUGCUUCAUGAAGAAAGUAUCGAUCAUUCAGGCGUUAAAUUUUCCAUUUGUUCAUUUUUUUUUUUUUCCAGCAGAAACUCUUGGAGAAAUUGCAUAGCAUUAUUUUAAACAAUUCCCCUCAGAGGCCCAUUAGAUAGGCUUUUCUGCAGACAGGAUAGAUGUCUUUUACAGCUGGUCAGUGUUUAGUUCUCCCAAUACUUGACUGAAGAAAGAAAAUAACUGGGAUGUAAGAUAUCUGACCUAUAGAUUGCUCAUUCUCUGCAUGAGUCAAUCUUUGAAGUCGGAAGAUAAAAAUCACCAUUAAUCACAAAACUUUCUUACCAUCAUAAGGUCAGAUAUCCCAGGGCCCUUCCAAAAUUACCACGUGGACUGGCAUAGGGCGAGAUUGGCUCAGCUGUGGUCACUUUUAUGACACAGAGCUCCUUCCCUCUGGUUGAUGAUAUUGAAUGAGCAGGAAGGAAGAAAAGAAAUAAAAGUCAGCUAACCAUGGUUGAGUCAAUCCAGCCCACGGCAUUCAAAGGCUGAAGGGCCACCUGACACUCCAGAGGCUGCUGGAAAUGCAGGGCUGUUUCAUCCUGGGAACGCAAAAGAUUCUUCAAAAUCAAACUGUGUCCGGAAUUGGUGGGUUCUUGGUCUCACUGACUUCAAGAAUGAAGCCACGGACCCUGGCGGUGAGUGUUACAGCUCUUAAGGUGGCGUUUCUGGAGUCUGUCCCUUCUGAUGUUCAGAUGUGUUCGGAGUUUCUUCCUUCUGGUGGGUUCGUGGUCUCGCUGGCUCAGGAGUGAAGCUGCAGAUCUUCACGGUUGCUAGUAACACAAUAAUAAAGCUGCUUUAUUUUCCAGUGAAGAUGUAUGUGAUAGGGAGUGGAGGAAGAAAAAGGCCAGAAAAUUCCAUAGUUAGCAAAUAUACCUUUCUUACUUAAAAUUCUUUUUCCAAUGUGAGCCUUCUAAAGAGUUACUGAGAAAUUAGGUGAGCUCACCUCAUUUAAUGCAAUAGAUAUGUUUCUGAAAAAUAAGCAAUACAUAGGACAUUGGCCAAUUAAGAAUUCUGAUGAAGAAGAAUUUUCACAUCCGAAAGAGUAAAAAUGAAAAACGGUACAAAUGUAGUGGCUUUUAAAUUUCAAAACAAAUUAUUUUGAUAAGAUAAAUAUUCCUCUCAUAAAGUGAAAAUGGAAGAGACUGCUUGCUGGGUGUUCGUCAAAAUGGAGUUAGAUGGUCUGUCCCAGACUCCCCUGUUGUUAGUUCUGAGAACAGAAGUAAUGGUGCUUCUUCAGGACUGGCUCAUAGAAACCUGCCGUGUUCAGCCCCCACAAUCCUCUCCCUUCUGCUGGCUGGAAACAAAUGACAACGAAGCCUCACGUCUUGGAGAAACCACACUGCUGAGGAACUCAAGUCCUAGAAGAACCAUUUGAAGAGACCCAUCUCACUAAAGAAAAUCACACAAGCAAGAAGUAAACUUCAUUGUAUCUAUGUAUUUAAUUGUCAUAACAGUCUACCUUAACUGAUACAGCAAAAAUUCGCUCCUUUUCUGGACACCCAGUUUCAAAAUCUCAGUGUCAUUUUUUACUUCUCUCUUUUCAGGUUGUUUAAUAUAAUAAAAUUUGUGUGUGUGUGUGUGUGUGUGUGACAAGGUCUUGCUCUGUUGCCCAGGCUGGAGUGCAAUGGCACGCUCCCAGCCCACUACAGCCUUGACCUCCAAGCUCAAGUGUUCCUCCCACCUCAGCCUCCAGAGUAACUGGGACUACAGGCAUGGGCCACCACACCCGGCUAAUUUUUGUACUUUUUGUAGAGACAGGGUUUCACCAUGUUGCCCAGGCUGGUCUUGAACCCCUGGGCUCAAGCGAUCUGCCCAUCUCCACCUCCCAAAAUUCUAGGAUUACAGGCGUGAGCCACUACACCCAACCAUUUUAUUUUUAAAAGUUUUCUUUGCAAUAUUGCUCACAUUGUUUCCUUCCUUUUUAUUCUUAUUGUCACUCCCAAGUUCAGGCUUUUACCUCUUUUAUUUGAAGUAUUAAAGUAUACUUCUAAGUCAUUUCUGUGGCUUAAAUUUAUUUAAUCCACUCCAUCCUGCAUCCUACCAACACAAUAACAUUGUUUCAUCAUUUCAAAUUGAAAUCGAAACUCUCCAAAGCUUUCCUACUGCUGAAUGGAUAAAAACACAAAAUCCUCAAUAGAGAAUUCACUUUCUGGAGCCAACUUACCUUUCCAAAUAUUUCCCAUUAUUCCCUAAGAGAAUCCUCCUGACAUACUCACUGUUUUUCAUAUACACUAGACCUUUUCUCAACCACCUAUUUGUCCACACAUUUUUCUUCCAGCUAGAAUAUUAUUUUCCCUUUCUCACUUCUGAAAGUCUUACCUGUCAUUCAUGGUUCAUCUCAAGCUCAAUCUUCUCCUUGAAACCUUUAAGCAUACCCUCCUGGAAAGUUAUCUCCCUCACCUCGAACCACCCCCCCAGCCCCUGCCAGAAUCUCCUAUAGGGCUGAUUGUUUAUCCUGCUUAUUAUAUAUUUAUAAAACACUCCACUGAGUUAUUAAUUACCUUUUCCUUGACUGUGAAAACAUGACUCUGGCUUCAAGGUAGGACCAUUUUUUCUCUAACACUGUGUCUCAUACACUUCAGCACAAGCUCUUAGUGGCCUGUGCAUUCAACUCCCAUGCAUAGCCACUUCCUCCAGGCAAACCCCACAGCCAGCAUCCAAAUUUUAAAAGGGGUUCUGUCAUCAACCCAAAGUUUCUUCUCUCUCAAGGAACCUAGAUUUAGAAGUUGAGUCUAGGCCACCUGUCUAAGAUACAGUAGUUAAUUUAACAUAUUUUAUUGCUCUCAACAUCACAGAGAAAGAGCCUUACUGCAGAUCUCAUUCUUUCCUUCAAAGCCAGUUUGCCCAUUCCUCUUCAGAAACCUUUAAGAGUGGUUAUUGGGAGAGAUGAUAAGACUCCAUCUGCUUAAGGAGUCCCUCUAACCCAGAAUAGUAGAUGUAAACACCUGACAUGUUGUUAUAGAGUGAAUGUUUGUGUUCCCCUCCAAUCCAUAUGUUGAAAUUCCAAGCCCCAAUGUGUUCGCAUUGGGAGGUGAGGCCUUUGGGAGGUAAAUAGAUCAUGAAGGUGAAGUCUUCAUGAAUGGAUUAGUGUCCUUAUAAAAGAGACCCCAGAGAGCUCUCUCAUCCUGUUUCUGCCAUGUGAGGACACAGCAAGAAGUUGGUCAUCUGCAACCUGAAGUGGCUCCUCCCCAGAAACUGAAUCUGCUGGGGUCUUAAUGGUGGGCUUCCCAGCCUCCAGAAUUAUGAGUGUAAAUGUUUGUUGUUUAAGCUACCCAGUCUAGGGUAGUUUGCUAUACUACCCCAAACUGACUAAGAUACAUAUGUUUGUCAUCCACUCAGUUGUUUUCCUAAAAUAAAUGAAGUCAGCUCCAAAGAUGAAUUUUCAUCUCUUUUUGUAGAGAUGGGUGCUAUUAUGCUUUUUAAUGAACGUUUAUUCACAAAUAAAAACAAAACAUACCUCUCACAUCCUCAGAGCAAAUACUUACAGUAACAUACAUUGAUGCUCACAAGCUCAUUACAUUUCAUGUUUACUAUUCAUUGAUAACAUUACAUUUAUUAUUAUCACAUAAACCAUACCUCCUGUUUAUGAAGCACUUAUGGUGUUUUAGUCAAUGUUAUGGUACCUGCUAUAUAUGGUCUCUAAUUUUAUUUUAACUUCCUAUAGUAAACAAUAUUAGGUGCUAACUCAAUAGUCAUUUUCUAACCUGAUUUUUCCUUGCAAACAGAACCCCAAAUUUGUUUGGAGAGAAAUGUGUCCAAAUCCAAACAAAGCAUCACCAUUUCUUUGAACCAUCAUAAGGAUCUAAUCAUUUUUUUUGUUUUCCUAGCCUCCCUCUAGCCAGAGAUACUGGGUAACACAGUUCUGGCUGAGAAGACAAGAGAAGAAAUCUGCUAAGCAUUUCUGGAAAAAGUUUUGAUUUGCUGAUGAAAGGGAACAGACAUACUGGUUGCCUUCCUUUUCCCUUUCAGCUGCCUAGUCGCCAUUUUGCAAUGUGAAACAACAUCAUUAAGGAAAGAUCAAAACAAUUGCAGAGAUGUCAACCAUCAUGCCUUUGAAUUCAUGCUCACAGUUGUCUGCCUCCAGAUUCAGUUAUAUUUGAGGUACUCUUUGAGUUAAGAUCCUUCUCAUUUUAUACCACUUGCAGCUGAACACACUCCCCACUAAUUUACCUUGUAAGGUGAAUUUCACUUAAAGGAAGAACACAUAAGUCAGGGAAUGACACAUAAUAGUAAAUGCAGGGUUUUUUUUUCUAUUUAUGAUAUAGAUUUAUACAACUGCUAUGUUCUUGACAUUGUACCAAUUUCAAGGUACAAAUAAGACAUAAUCCCUAAAAGCAUGGGUUACAAAAUCUGGGUUCAGCAUAGGGUUUCAUGAUAAACAAACAAACACAAAUUGUUUUUUAUUGUAUUUCCUUCUUCUUCACAUCUUGUGAAUCUAAGAAAAAUAUCAGAAUGUUCGUUUCAGCUCAAUUUUUGAAGAGUACAAUCUCUAAGUAAAAAGAAACUGUAAAUGUUUAUAAAUGUAACUAGAGCCUAGUAGAAAAUAAAGCCAUGCAAGUGUGUUUAGGUCCUAAUCUUAUUAACCAGAUUAGUGACACACAGUCUGCCCAAAGUUAAUGAAAGCAGUGAGGUUCUUUGACUUCAGUAGAUACACACCUGAACCACAGAGAUAAACUUGCUUCAAACCUGUGCGAUAUGUUUUUCUAAGCAUAAAAUUGAGCAUGAUAGCUCCAAUUUCAGUCUCAGUUUCAAAGCUUCCCUUUCCCGAAUAAGAGGCAAACUGUCACAUUAAAUUUAGCGAAUUAAAAUCAGUUAACUUGAAAAGCUCUUGGCCCCAAUGCAGAGAAAAUUGUUUGCAUAAUAAUAACUUAUUUCCUUUUUUAAAAGGCGGACUUCUGCCUGAAUGCUUCUAUAAACUUUUAAGAAAAUGGGAUUCUCAAAUCUCAAGCGUAUUGGGUUGCAGUUGGCACUUGAAGCUGGGGACAUGCAGAGCUGGCUAAUGUCAGCAGCUGUAGGACUGUCAAGAAAAAUAGGUGGAAGGGACACUUUUAUUAUAAGUAGACUUGCAAGGCAUUCCAACUUUCAGCUGCUCAACCCAGUAUACCAAACACCUCUGACUACCUCAAGUGUGGCCUUGCUGAGUGCUUCCAUAUUUAGGGGUUAUUAGACAGGACUGAAGCAAGUGACCUCUAAUGAGGAAGCAAUCAGGGCAGGCUCUGACCCUCCUCAGAGGUACUGUAAUGAACUGGCCUUGGAAGGUCUUUGAUGCUGCCUUUGCAUACUGUAUAUGAGCUUUCUGCUCAGUCAUUUCCUCUGCGCUCUGGUAGCACAGCAUGAAGCCUGCUAUUAGAAAAAAGGUUUAUUGCUACCUUGCAAACAUUUAUUGGGUAAUAUCUAAAACAUGGUGUCAAGUUAUAGUAAUGCGCUGUUCUGGGAAACUUUUUGAGAAUUUUAGUGUUUCAGAAGAUGGUCCUUUGAGAAUUCUUCUGUUUCAGAAAUGAAAAGUGGUAGAUAUAUACGUGUGUGUGUAUAAUAUGCUCAUGUAUCCUCUGAUUACUUGCCAGAGAUGUACCAUUUUUCUUUCAAGGGAAACAUCUAUUCCUAAGAUAGAUUAUUCUUGAAAUUUUCAAAGAGUAUGCCUCAGAGAACAAAUAUACAAAUUUACCAUUUGUCUGCAGAUAUUAUUUGCCUGUGUUUAUGCUAGGUCACUGACACCACACACAUUUUAAUCCCCAAGGGAAUUUAUUUGGUGGUGUUAUCUACUCAACCAAGCUGAAGCUUAUCUAGUUCACAAGAAAAUAGUCAAUAUGAGCUCCAUGCAGACUUAUGCUGUUAAUGCAGAAGAGGGAAAGAGAAUUUACCUUUAACUGUUAUGAUGAAAAUGUGUACAAUGACACUUAACUAUGGCAUGCAAAUCCUCUUUUCCUCCCCCACAGGUAUCUGGAAAGUACCUUAUACAGCUAGGUGCUUAGAAAAUGUUUAUUGAUUAAAUAGAUGAUGAUUAACAGAUUAAUAAAAGGUGAAAGUUACUAUCUAUGCAUUUUUUUCCAGUUUGAUGUUCAAAAACUUACCAAUGGAUGGGGAGUUGCUUUUCAUAAACAAUUUAUAAAGCACUGUCCUGGAUGAAAUUGUAAAAAGGACGUGGUGUCAAAGAUGACUCAGUGGAGUUGAGGUGAAAAAUGUGUAAUGAGCAAAUCAUGGUAAUUGGGAUAUCCAUCACCUCAAACCCUUAUCAUGUCUUUGUGUUGAGGACAUUUCAAAUCUUCCCUUCCAGCUAUUUUGAAAUAUACAACAAAUUAUUGUUAAGUGUAGCCACCCUAGUGUGCUACUGUACACUAGGACUUACUUAUUCCUUCUAUCUAACUGUAUUUUUGAACCCAUGAACCAACAUCUCUUUGAUUUCCAGCCUGGGCUUUGGUGUCCCUUUUUUUGUGUGUUUUCAUAGGGCCCUAUAUUUAUAUUAUUUGGGCUCAACACAUUGCAAAACUGCAGAGGAGUUUACUAUUAUGCACAUUAUUAUUCUAUAUUCUGUCACUCUAAGAAACAAUAAGUGACCAUCUGAAGAGACCAUCUUCUAGCACCAAAAUAUUUAAAGAUGAUUAAGAAUAAGACAAGGGUCUCCUUAUUUACAAAAUGACAUAAUUGAAAGGACUAGAUUAUUAGCAACCCCUCUGGAAAAGGAUUACUCUUUUGGAUUUUAAUUACAUAACUAAUAUAUCAACUGAAGUGCUAUGCCCUGACGUGUGCUCCCCUCAGCUUCACGAUCCAUAUGUUGAAACCCAACCCCUUAAUGUGAUGGCAUUUGGAGAUGGGGCUUUGGAGAUAUUAGUUAGGUUUAGAUAAGGUCAUGAGAAUGGGGCUCUUAUGAUGAGAUGAGCACCUUCAUAAAAAGAGACACGAGGUAUUUCUCUUUUCUCUCUUCUCUCUCUCCCUCUUUCCCUCCCUCCCUCUCUCCUCCUUCUCUGUCUUCCUCCUUUAUGUGAGGACAUAGCCAGAAGGCAGCUGUGUCUGCAAGCCAGGAAGAAAGCCCUCACCAGGAAUCAACUAUAUCAGCACCUUGAUCUUGAACUUCUAUCCUUAGAACAGAGAGAAAAUGAAUUUCUAUUCUUGAAGCCACCCAGCCUACGGUAUUUUGUUAUGGCAGUCAAGCUGAAUAAGAUAUAUAUCUACACUGAGACCAUUAAAAGUAGUUCCUGAUUGGCAGAAAGGUUGUAUAUAUAAAUGGCUCAUUGAAAGUUCUCACUGCAUGGAUGAGAAAUCUCAGAUUGAGGUUCUUAAAUUUUGAAAAAUAGAAAUAAAGGAAUUAACGCAACAGUCUUCUAAUCUUUCUGCCUUCAGUUUUUGCUCCCUUUGACUAUUCUCUGUACACUGCAUCCAGAGGUUAUAUUUUGACAGGGAAAUUCAAAUGAUGUAUAUUAUUUUUCUACUCAAAAUCUCCCCACUGGCACCCUAUUGUCCUAAAGCAUAAACUGCUAUUGCAGUCAAUUCACCUGAAAUAAGCUCUCUUCCUGCCGCGUCUUUUACAUAGAUUGUUUACUCCUCUUGUGAUCCCAGUUCCCUGCUUCUCCCUCUCCUCCACACUUUUCAAUAAUUAAAUUAUACUCAGCGUUCAGAAUUCAGUCAGGAUAUCCUACCUUCUUUGGUCAGCCCCCCAGGGUUUUCUGAAAGCUGGGAAGAGGCCCUCUUCUGCAAUCCCCAUGCACUGUAGACACAUCCCCUUUAGGUCCCUAUGUUGUGAGUGACUGUUUUCUUGUCUGUCUCUGCCACUAUAUUAUGCACUCUUAGAAGGCAAGGACUACUUCUCUUCAUUGUAUACCUAGAACUUAACCCAAAAACUGGCAUGUGCAUGCACCCAAGUUUUCACUGAGAAAAUAAUUGCAUGAGUCACUUGCUUUCCAGGUCUUUCUGACUACUAUGAUGGUGAUGACUUGUAGUCACAACAUGAAAUUGGUUUCUGCCCCUGAGGAUUGUAUCUCUCUACUUUGCAUGACCCCUAGAUUUCAAUCCCUCUUUAUUCUCUCCUGAUCCUUGGGUUCCAGUAAUUCUCUGGGUUUCAAAUAUAAGCACAGUGUGAGGAGCUCUUCAUUCUUGACAGAACUUUCAGGCAAGAAAGAAAUAGAUUCCUGGGAAUAUCUAUAUUCCCUCUGGCCCUAUUCCUUACUCCCAAAACAUAAUAACCCUUUUCUUAGGUUUUUUCUCUCUACCUUUUUACUUCUUCCUUAUUCUCACGAUUACAUGAAUUAACUGCCUACAGAGUAUGAAUUCAGACUGAAUUAAUAUGUAUUUAUGUGACAUAAAAGAUCUCUUUCAGUACUUCUUAAUCUUACCAAAUGAUGCAUACUAUACAAUAAAAAAUUGCAAUUUUUUCAUUAGCUUUUUUUUUUUUUUUUGGUUUCUGGUAGGGUUUUCCUUUAGUGGUAUUUUAGCAAGUAAUACAAUCCAGUUAUUUUUAAAAGUAUAUUAGUAGAAACUCACCAGAAGUCAAUAUACUGGUCCAAGAAUAAUUAACUGAUUGACUUUAUUGUUUAUGAAACUUUGUAAUGUUCCUUUUGAUGUGAAUGCUUAUCUUAGGGGGAAAUGCACUUUUCAAAUAUAAAUGAUCAUGUUUAAACAAACUGCUUCUAGUUUCAAAUAUGGCACUGAAAAACAAAAUAAAAUAAACACUCAAUUUUUAUUUAAAAUGGUGGGCAAUUUACUUUCUUUUUUGUUUGGGAUCUGAUUCAAGAGCCUCAAUUCAGCUUAUUGCAGAACUAACUAAACUAAACCUCAAAGGAAAAAUUUUAAAAAUGAUUUUUAUAGCAAUGACAUCAUUAUAUAAAAUGUUGGCAUUUCAUAUUUUCCAAACAGAAACUUGGAAAUAACAGAAUACAAGUUAAAUAAAACAAAUUGAAACUAAUCCAAUUCUCUGUUUUUCUUUCCCUUUUUAAAAACCAAGCUUUUUAUUGCCAGCUUUUACUUUGCAUAAUAAUAUAUGAUGAAUUGUCCAAGAAAGACCCAGUGGGUACAUUUCUCUUAGAAAUAAGCCUCUCUAUGCAAUAGGAGGCCAAGUUCUAGGGCAACAUACUUAUAUAAUCAUGUAAGAUUUUCCUUAUUGCUAACAAUUGACCAACCUGGGCAUUUGUCAAAUAUGUAAACACAUGGAGGUCACUGGUCACCAGAGGAUUGAAAACACAAAUCACUCUAUUCAUAUCCAUCCCUAGUUCUAGAAAAACAAUACCAAAUUAAAGCAUAUAUCCUACUAGCAAUAGGACUAGCAAAAUUAUUUUGGUAUACCAGAGCUACAUGUUAUACAUUUUGCUACUUAUGGAUUUAAUUACUCAGGAUAAUUAUACACAUGGCUACAACUGUAAACUUUAUAAUAUUUUGCUGGCAUACCUUCCAAAAGAGUUUGAAAAGCUAUGAAUUUAAUUCUAUAUUUGCAUUUGACAUAUAAAGUAC